GCAGCGCCUGGCCGGGGCGGCCGGCGGCGAGCAGCAGCCGCGCGGCCUCGACCAGCAGGGGGAGGGCCGUGGGGUCCUGCCCGGCGCGCAGCACC
This 95-nucleotide transfer RNA is filed under the name Actinoplanes ianthinogenes. RNAcentral describes it as "tRNA-Cys". The record is from RNAcentral. Lineage: Bacteria; Bacillati; Actinomycetota; Actinomycetes; Micromonosporales; Micromonosporaceae.